RNAcentral lists this long non-coding RNA (537 nucleotides) under Macaca nemestrina (pig-tailed macaque). RNAcentral describes it as "lncRNA (ENSMNEG00000045843.1)". The record is from RNAcentral. Lineage: Eukaryota; Metazoa; Chordata; Mammalia; Primates; Cercopithecidae.
GGUCAGAACUGAGCAGCCCAACAGGAACCUGCCUGCCCUGACCCCCAGCAAACAGCUCUAAGAGGGAUUUGCCACGACCUUCCAGGAAAUCAGGUGCUAAUGACAGAGACCAACAUGGAAGGAAAGGAGUGAAUUCUCCCUCCAGGUGCCAUAGAUGACAUCUUUUUAGAUGGAUCUUUCGGUUUGCCUUUAUGAGAGGUUUAGUUGCCAAACUGGGAUUCAAACUUAAGAAGACUGGCAGACUGGAGCUCACCUCUCAACUACUAUACAGCACAACCUCCCUGGACAAUACCAUCUUUUCUACAAUAUGGUAAGGUUGAUAUAAGAGUAAGAAGACAUCAUAUUUAGGAAAGAACUCUAAACUAAAAAGGGUCAAACUUGGGUUAAUGAUAUUUUUUUUCUGGUAUGAAAUUUAAUCCACAAAAUUUUAGUGUGUAAGAAAAGUAACUUCAAAUAUUUCUAUGACAAAUUAAUAUCUGCUUUGAACUCCCAUUUCCCCUGACUUGAUAUGCAAGUUUUUGGGAACUUACAUAAUGC